Molecule: long non-coding RNA, 395 nt
Organism: Lolium perenne
Lineage: Eukaryota; Viridiplantae; Streptophyta; Magnoliopsida; Poales; Poaceae
Source: RefSeq, a predicted model, not a curated record
GCAUGUACUUACAUGUUUUCUAAUAAGUUUCUUCUUGCUUUCAGUUUCUUACUAGAAAACCUUAUAUACUGCAUACAAGUAGAGGACCAAGAAUGGAUGCAUACAAUAGCAGAAAAUAAAGUGACCCUGAAUCCUACCGUGAGGUUUCAAGUGUUCAAUAUGGUAGCAGAACCAAUCAGUAUGUUGUGAUGUGGCCUGGAGGGUGGUGUUGGCUGUCAGAUCGGGCGGACAUGCUUUCUUCUACCGGUGCUUGAUCUUUGAUAGCCUGAGAUGCUUCUCUAAUGCAAAGAAUGCCUAUAUCUUCACAGGGUUUGGCCUUGGUGUGGUGAUGUCUGGGGCAGUCCAUGUGCAUGAUGACAUUCUUCGUGCAACCUGUAAGUACUAUUAGGGAUAGC